UACGGAAGGCAGCAGUGGGGAAUAUUGCACAAUGGGCGCAAGCCUGAUGCAGCCAUGCCGCGUGUAUGAAGAAGGCCUUCGGGUUGUAAAGUACUUUCAGUCGUGAGGAAGGUGUUAAGGUUAAUAACCUUAGCAAUUGACGUUAGCGACAGAAGAAGCACCGGCUAACUCCGUGCCAGCAGCCGCGGUAAUACGGAGGGUGCGAGCGUUAAUCGGAAUUACUGGGCGUAAAGGGCACGCAGGCGGUUAAUUAAGUUGGAUGUGAAAUCCCCGGGCUUAACCUGGGAAUGGCAUUCAAGCUGGUUAGCUAGAGUCUUGUAGAGGGGGUAGAAUUCCAUGUGUAGCGGUGAAAUGCGUAGAGAUGUGGAGGAAUACCGGUGGCGAAGGCGGCCCCUGGGACAAAGACUGACGCUCAUGUGCGAAAGCGUGGGGAGGCAAACAGGGAUUAGAUACC
Molecule: ribosomal RNA, 454 nt
Filed under: uncultured bacterium
Lineage: Bacteria
Description: bacterial SSU rRNA
Rfam family: Bacterial small subunit ribosomal RNA
Source: RNAcentral